Molecule: long non-coding RNA, 1914 nt
Organism: Bombus huntii
Lineage: Eukaryota; Metazoa; Arthropoda; Insecta; Hymenoptera; Apidae
Exons: 2
Source: RefSeq, a predicted model, not a curated record
UCUUCAAUUCUCUCCACCUAACCACCCACAAAUCAUUCACAAACAUGCAAUUCUCGACAAAAGAAGAACUUAUCGUCAGUUGUCCUUAACAUCUCGUUCAUUCAUUUGGUCCCUAUCCCCCUAUUUCCUCCCACUGCGAUGAUCGCACUACAUUUUUCCACGUCUCUAUUCUAUUCUCUGGAUGAUCUGAAUUCUCGAGCAGUCGAGUGACGAUUGAUCUGUACAAUUGAUCGAUUUCUUUUUACUACAGACAUGCAAGAAAUUCCGUGUUGGAGAGCGAUGUUGCGAGUUCGAGUGCCUGGACCAUCUGAAGACCGGAACUGGUAUAGUUUAUGUCGUUGAUGAUAAUAAUUCCUCCACGACUCAGCAACAAGAGCUACUCUGGGUGAUGAGCUUAAUGGUGCUGUUGCGGCUAUUUUAAUUUUUCAACAAGGAUCCAAAUGGCGCCGUUGACGAAAUUCUUUCAUUAUAAACGUCAACGAUCAACAUCAGCCAUCAGGGAACGAAGAAGGUACGCUGUAACGUGUCUGAGUAAUUAUACCUCGAGGAGUACAUACAGUUAUGUAAUGAAGAUUCGUAUGUGAGUGUUUGUUUUCUUAUUUCUUUUCCCUUUGUUUCAUUUGAAUGGAUUUUUGUACUCAAAGAGCGAGUUGACUGUAUGGUGGAUGUAUCUAAUGGUGUUGUAGUUGACUGUAUGUUGUUCAAUAUUGCUAUGAAACUCUUCUGAUUCAUUGUCACUUAUACGAAGGAUGGAAGUAUACGAAAUUGAUAAAAUUAUUAAUAAUAUUUACGAAGAGAAAGUAAACUGUUGGAUAUAUGACAAAAUAAUUCUAUUUUAAAUAAGAGACUGGUCAGAGUGGUUAUUUUGUUUACAAAAUCAAACGAACUUAAUGAAUGUAAUGGUAAGGAAGUAACUAUAAGUGGCUGUUAAACUAUUUUUAUGCUUGAAAAGUAAUUCGCAAAGUAAUGUAAAGCAGUACUACUGAGUUGUACAUAACCUCUUUCAGAAUUUGUUCUUAACCUCUUGCUUCAUAACUUCCUUAAUACUCUUCAAACUUAUUGACUACUUCGAUGUUGUUACGAACAGAAACUGAUAAAAUAUUAAUCUUAAAUAUAGAUUGAAAUGAAAGCUUGUCAGGUAAAUAUAUAUAUAUAUAUGUGUACUACUUACUCAAACUAUGGAUCACAUAACCUAUACAAAAAAAAAAAAAAAAAAAAAUUAUUGUACACUAUAAAGCAAGAGGUUAAAUCUUUAAUCUGUUAAGAAUUAAAUUUUUUAUUGUAACUGCGAAAAUUAUAAAAGUACCAAGCGAAGCAAGUACGGAAUAUAUGCGGAAUAUGAAUCGCUCAACGAACCAAAGAGCGGCUCAGUGACAAAAUUAGUAAAGUAAAGACCACAAAUAUAACAACAUUAUAUUCUACCACAAAAUAAUUCUCUAUACAAAAAAGGUACACAACGAAUCGAUUUUUCACAACGAUAAGAGUCAACAGAACCAAUCAAGACCAGGCGAGACUCUCAUAAGACAACGAUAUCAGAGGGAUCAAAUCAGCGACUUCAAUCUAUGUUACAGAGUAUAGUUAUCAAGAAAAAUUGCUCUUUUCAUGAAAAGUAUGGUAAUGAUACUCUUAUAAUACAUUGUAUAUCUGGCAGUCGGGUGUGCCCGUGGCCAUCGGAAAUGUAAAGACGACGCUUUUAGAAAGUGAUAGCGCCAUCGCGUUUUAAAAACGCGUUAGAAGAAGGACGGUUUCGCUAUCCAAGGCGAAUCGAAAAGUGUGCGUGUUGCGAGAAUCAGAGUUGAUCGAGACGUCGAAGCAUAGAGUCGUUAGAAUUGAGUUGCGAGUGUUGUCGAGUGUUAGAGUUGCUAGUGAGAGAGAGAGAGAGAGAGAGAGAGAGAGAGAGAGAGUUACCAAAUA